This 22-nucleotide microRNA is filed under the name Pan troglodytes (chimpanzee). RNAcentral describes it as "ptr-miR-519c". Its record names the gene ptr-miR-519c. The record is from miRBase by way of RNAcentral. RNAcentral also lists the same sequence under 1 other name. Lineage: Eukaryota; Metazoa; Chordata; Mammalia; Primates; Hominidae.
AAAGUGCAUCUUUUUAGAGGAU